RNAcentral lists this ribosomal RNA (253 nucleotides) under uncultured bacterium. RNAcentral's name for it is "partial 16S ribosomal RNA". It matches the Rfam family "Bacterial small subunit ribosomal RNA", at positions 524 to 776 of the family's 1533-position model. The record is from RNAcentral.
UACGGGGGGGGCAAGCGUUGUUCGGAAUUACUGGGCGUAAAGGGCUCGUAGGCGGCCAAUUAAGUCAGACGUGAAAUCCCUCGGCUUAACCGGGGAACUGCGUCUGAUACUGGAUGGCUUGAGAUUGGGAGAGGGAUGCGGAAUUCCAGGUGUAGCGGUGAAAUGCGUAGAUAUCUGGAGGAACACCGGUGGCGAAGGCGGCAUCCUGGACCAGCACUGACGCUGAGGAGCGAAAGCCAGGGGAGCAAACGGG